Molecule: long non-coding RNA, 1267 nt
Filed under: Homo sapiens (human)
Lineage: Eukaryota; Metazoa; Chordata; Mammalia; Primates; Hominidae
Description: mir-99a-let-7c cluster host gene
Source: RNAcentral
AGGGAGAGAGGACAUCAGAAGCUACACAUUUGGGACCUUCUCAGGCUUCACCCUAUGCACCUCUUUUUGCUGAUCCUGAUUUGUAUUAUUUGUGCUAUAAUAACACUGUAAUUAUAUGUAUAGGACUUUCCUGAAUUCUCUGUCACUGUCAGUCUAUUAAAUGAUUGAGCAUGAAGAGAGAGUAGGAACCCCUGAGUAUUUAGCUUGUUGGUCAGAAGUGCUGGUGGCCUUGGAACUCAUAAGCUUGUGGCUAGUUUCUGAGCUUACUAUGGAAAUGGAAAAGAACUGCUGCUUUGAAAGUUGAUAUUUAACUAACCCAGGCACAACAGGAAUACAACCUUUUACUACAGAUGUGGGAUUGUUCAUGUCAUCUACUAAUGCAAGAUGGAUCUGAGAACGCUGUCUGGGCUUGGUACCAAGAGCUGGUAUUUCACAGCAGCGACCGCCUCACAGACGAGCUGUGGGAAGCAGGAGGGAGACUCUCUCUUAGGGUGCCACUACUAUGGAGACACAGCUGGGCUGAACAAGAUUUGCUUCAAACGACAACAAGAGAGACAGAAAGUAUCUGGUUCAACCGCUGCCCGAGCAGGCAGGCACCAGAAGAGCUAGCAGCCAAUCCGGCCAUGCUCGAAGCCAGCUCUGCAGCUCAGCCAAUCAGUGACAUCAUUGCUUUCUUUAGCUUGCCCAUGGUGAUGUGAAGAUGAGAAGAAAUAGCAAGGCCCAACCAGUUCUUCAUCUGGAGACAGUUCAACGUUCUGCAAACCAGAUCUUCAGGAAUUUUACUGGGAUAAUUAUCCAAAUAAAUUGCAAGCAUUCUAUCCAAAUGGAGCUCUUUCUGAGAUGAAGAGAAUUCUCAAUGUCAAGAUUUGAACAAGAAGAGAAUGGAAUACACAAUAUGGACAUCCAUAAAAAUUCAUCAGAGAGCAUUUUACUACUGAGCUGCAAAGGGAAAAACUUAAAAUGGAUAUGAAAAGUGAAGAAAGUGAUCAUAGGAGAAAACCAUUUCAGGUGUCUGAUGAUUUGUGAGCCUCAAGUGACUACUCUGUGGAAUCAUCUGUCCUUGCCUUUGAAUUAGCUUUCCCUAGGCCAUGAGUCAACAUUAGUAGUUUAUACAUCCAAAUUGAUGACAAGAGCACCUCAAAGGCAGCAGCCUCAAGGAGCAGCCAUGGCCCCAGACUUGUCGCACGGAUGCAGAAAACUUAAUGGAGGAGGCUGAGGUCAGAAUGGGAAGAGUUUUUAAAAAAUAAAAAGGGGAGCUAAUAUGUGA